RNAcentral lists this ribosomal RNA (1706 nucleotides) under Saprinus sp. NLG-2014. RNAcentral describes it as "partial 16S ribosomal RNA". Lineage: Eukaryota; Metazoa; Arthropoda; Insecta; Coleoptera; Histeridae. The record is from RNAcentral.
UAAACUAGGAUUAGAUACCCUAUUAUUUUGAAUGUAAAAUUUAAUAUUAGAUUAUUAAUAGUUAUGGACUUUAAAAUUAAAGAAUUUGGCGGUAUUUUAGUCCAUUCAGAGGAACCUGUCCUAUAAUUGAUUCUCCACGUUAAUAUAAACUUAAUCUAAAGGUUUGUAUAUCGUCGUAGUUUGAGGAUUUUAGAAGAAUAAUAAUCUUCAUAAUGUUAGAAAGAACAGAAUUCAGAUCAAGGUGCAGCUUAUGGUUAAGGAGAGAUGGGUUACAAUAAAAUAAUUUAGACGGAUGGGUUGUUUAAAAUGAUUUUGAAGGUGGAUUUGAAGGUAAUAUUAUAAAUAUUUAUUUAAUAUGAUUUUGGCUCUAAAAUAUGUACAUAUCGCCCGUCGCUUUCAUUACAGUUGAAAUAAGUCGUAACAAAGUAGGCGUACUGGAAAGUGUGCCUAGAAAGGCAAGUUAAAGCUUUAAUAAGCAUCUUAUUUACAUUAAGAGGAUAUUUGUGAAAUUCAAUUUAAUGAAUUGAGUUUAUUAUUAUUAUUUAAGUUUUAAUAAUAAUUUUCUAAAUAAAGAUCAGUUUAUUAUUAUAAAGAAUAACUAAAUUUUAUUAUAGUGAAUUAGUACUGUGAAGGAAUUAAAUUAAAAUUUGAGUAAGAAGUUUUAAUUUAUUGUACCUUUUGUAUCAGGGUUUAUUAAUUAAAAAAUAUUAAUAUAUUUUUCUCGAAUCUAAAAGAGCUAAUUUAAUAUAUAUAUUACUAUUGAAUAAGUAUUUUAAAUAUUGAAUUUGUAAUGAAACGUUAUUCGUUUUUAGAUAUAUCUAGUUUCUUUAGAAAUGAAUUUAAUUCAGCUAAUUAAUGAAAUUUCUUAUAUUAAUAAGAAAUUUUAUGAUUUAAGUAAUAUUUUAGGGGAUGAGCUUUAAAAUAUUUCUAUAGAUUAAAUAUUUAAUUUUAGUAUGUAGGAUUAGAAGUUUCUUUCAUUAAUAGUGUGUUAUAACUAUAUAAAUUUAAAUAAUAAUUUAUAUAAUUCUUAGUUUAUUAUAAAGAAUUUCAAUUUAAUUAUUAAAUUGAAGAUUUAAUGAUAAAAUUAGUACAAUUUUAUGUAGAUUUAAUUAAAUUAUUUAGGUUAAAUUAAGGAAUUCGGCAAAUUAGUUUCUCGCCUGUUUAUUAAAAACAUGUCUUUUUGAAUUUUAUUUAAAGUCUGACCUGCCCCCUGAGGAGUUUAAAGGCUGCAGUAUCCUGACUGUACAAAGGUAGCAUAAUCAUUAGUCUCUUAAUUAGAGGCUUGUAUGAAUGGUUUGACGAGGGAACAACUGUCUCAAUUUAAUUUUUUUGGAAAUUUAUUUUUAAGUUAGAAAGCUUAAAUUGUUUUAAAAGACGAGAAGACCCUAUAGAGUUUUAUAAAUUGCUUUAGUUAAUACUUUUUAGUAUAUUUGGGGUUAAUUAUUUCAUUUUAUUUUGUUGGGGUGAUAGAAAAAUUAAAUAAACUUUUUUUAUUUAAAACAAAAAUAUUUGAUUAUAUGAUCCGCUUAGGCGAUUAAAAGAUUAAAUUACCUUAGGGAUAACAGCGUAAUUUUUUUUGAGAGUUCUUAUUAAAAAAAAAGUUUGCGACCUCGAUGUUGGAUUAAAAUUGAUAUUUGGUGUAGAAGCUAAAUCAUUAGGUCUGUUCGACCUUUAAAAUUUUACAUGAUCUGAGUCAAAACCGGAGA